Diaporthe helianthi is the source of this 89-nucleotide non-coding RNA. The record is from Rfam. NCBI's taxonomy places the organism in Eukaryota, Fungi, Ascomycota, Sordariomycetes, Diaporthales, Diaporthaceae.
CUCCAUGAUGCAUACAACACAUUCAGGGAUUCCUCGAACCGAAGACCAAUGUGGACAUAAUGUUUUAUAAGUUUCAGCCUUGUCUGAUC